GACGAACGCUGGCGGCGUGCUUAACACAUGCAAGUCGAACGAAGAGCGAUGGAUGCUUGCUUCUAUCAAUCUUAGUGGCGAACGGGUGAGUAACGCGUAAUCAACCUGCCCUUCAGAGGGGGACAACAGUUGGAAACGACUGCUAAUACCUCAUACGAUCUGACCUCGGCAUCGAGGAUAGAUGAAAGGUGGCCUCUACAUGUAAGCUAUCACUGAAGGAGGGGAUUGCGUCUGAUUAGCUAGUUGGAGGGGUAACGGCCCACCAAGGCGAUGAUCAGUAGCCGGUCUGAGAGGAUGAACGGCCACAUUGGGACUGAGACACGGCCCAGACUCCUACGGGAGGCAGCAGUGGGGAAUCUUCCGCAAUGGACGAAAGUCUGACGGAGCAACGCCGCGUGAGUGAUGACGGCCUUCGGGUUGUAAAGCUCUGUUAAUCGGGACGAAAGGCCUUUUUGCGAAUAGUGAGAAGGAUUGACGGUACCGGAAGAGAAAGCCACGGCUAACUACGUG
RNAcentral lists this ribosomal RNA (510 nucleotides) under uncultured bacterium. Its description in RNAcentral is "partial 16S ribosomal RNA". It matches the Rfam family "Bacterial small subunit ribosomal RNA", at positions 28 to 507 of the family's 1533-position model. The record is from RNAcentral.